RNAcentral lists this ribosomal RNA (228 nucleotides) under Enterococcus faecium. RNAcentral describes it as "partial 16S ribosomal RNA". It matches the Rfam family "Bacterial small subunit ribosomal RNA", at positions 1 to 213 of the family's 1533-position model. The record is from RNAcentral. Lineage: Bacteria; Bacillati; Bacillota; Bacilli; Lactobacillales; Enterococcaceae.
UUUUAUGAGAGUUUGAUCCUGGCUCAGGACGAACGCUGGCGGCGUGCCUAAUACAUGCAAGUCGAACGCUUCUUUUUCCACCGGAGCUUGCUCCACCGGAAAAAGAGGAGUGGCGAACGGGUGAGUAACACGUGGGUAACCUGCCCAUCAGAAGGGGAUAACACUUGGAAACAGGUGCUAAUACCGUAUAACAAUCAAAACCGCAUGGUUUUGAUUUGAAAGGCGCUU